Molecule: unclassified non-coding RNA, 334 nt
Filed under: fungal sp.
Lineage: Eukaryota; Fungi
Description: partial internal transcribed spacer region
Rfam family: Eukaryotic small subunit ribosomal RNA (bases 1-46)
Source: RNAcentral
AAGUCGUAACAAGGUAUCCGUAGGUGAACCUGCGGAAGGAUCAUUAACACGUAUCCACGUACCAACCAACCGUGCUUGAACAGAAAACUUCACCUACUCCACUCAAAUCUCGGUUUGAGCAAGUAGGAACACACAUGCAAAUGCAAAGACAGCGCAGAGGGGAGGAAAGGAAACUGAAAUCUUCUCUGAGCCGACUUGUGUUUGUGUGUGCUAUUCACUUUUUCCCCCCUGAUAUCAUACCGGUUGUUGCUGGUUGAGCUCACUUGUUGAGUUCGACUGUGAAAUAUUUUAUUUCAACUGCUUACAACUCUUAGCAAUGGAUAUCUUGGUUCUC